CCGUCACACCACGAGAGUUUGUAACACCCGAAGUCGGUGAGGUAACCUUUUAGGAGCCAGCCGCCGAAGGUGGGACAGAUGAUUGGGGUGAAGUCGUAACAAGGUAGCCGUAUCGGAAGGUGCGGCUGGAUCACCUCCUUUCUAAGGA
This 148-nucleotide ribosomal RNA is filed under the name Escherichia coli. Its description in RNAcentral is "partial 16S ribosomal RNA". It matches the Rfam family "Bacterial small subunit ribosomal RNA", at positions 1394 to 1533 of the family's 1533-position model. The record is from RNAcentral. Lineage: Bacteria; Pseudomonadati; Pseudomonadota; Gammaproteobacteria; Enterobacterales; Enterobacteriaceae.